Molecule: long non-coding RNA, 1052 nt
Organism: Eucalyptus grandis
Lineage: Eukaryota; Viridiplantae; Streptophyta; Magnoliopsida; Myrtales; Myrtaceae
Exons: 5
Source: RefSeq, a predicted model, not a curated record
UGCUUAACGAUUGUCAUCUUCUCUUUUGAUCUUUUCCAGGUGAGCUAUGUCUAAUCAGUUUGCGUCUCUGUUUGUUGUCCUUCUGCUGGAGUAGCGUCUUUAUCCAAACCAUCGCCCCUUGCCUAUCUGAGAAUAUGGAAGCCCCCCUUGCGGUGCUAACACUGUAGCCUUCAGCUUUUCCAGAAAAUUAACUCCUGAAGAAGCUGUUAGAGCUACCUUAUCACCGCUUCGAGAUGAGGUGACCAGAAACGUUGACGCCACAGCUUUGUCAGCUGAAGAUCCUGCGUCAGAAAGGAGGAGGAAAUUAGAGUCCCUUCAGGUGCAGGAAGCACUGAUCAAGGACGAGGAAAAGCAAGAGGAGGAGGAGGAAGAACACGUAACAAGAAACCAUUUUGGUAAUAUUGGUUUGAUGAAAAGUUAGGUUGGGGCUGCUGUCACUCUACUCAUAGUUGAAACAUAACAAAUGAAUACCUAACUCUGGUUUCUUUCAAAAGUCAGUGUCAGGAGAGUGGAGUUUUUGCAGCAUGCAGAUAAGGAAAUAGGGUCUUGUCCUGCAUCAACAUAGAUGGGACAAUUCUGCUGCAAGAGGUUGUAAGAAAGGGAAGUCGGUCGGAAGAUGCAAGACACUGAACUUUUCUGGAUUGUCUCACUGGUGUGAAUCCAGUUUCCAUGUAAUGUGAAGUCGAAUGUGGUCUUUCAGUACAAAGAGGACUUACCAAUAUGCAUCUCAACCGUUAGAGACGAUGGAUUUCACAUGGAGCCCAAUACGGUCUUUCCCAGAAGUUUGUGCGUCUUGGACACACAUGUGCAUUCAAGAUGAAGAACAAAAACCAAAGUUCAGCUGGACUUGUCCGACUUGAUUUGGGUCAAUAUUCGUUCUUUCAGAUCAUUCAAACUUCGUGCUCUGUAGUGUUCAUUUCCACUUGGGCAACAGCUUCUGUAUCUGAGCAGUUCGUGACGUUUAUAAGAGCAACUCUUCUUGUUUGCGCACCUGAUAUUAUAUGAUCGACCUAUCUAUCUCAAAGGCUAAUCUAUUUCAUAUUUCAUUGUCA